This 372-nucleotide long non-coding RNA is filed under the name Olea europaea subsp. europaea. Lineage: Eukaryota; Viridiplantae; Streptophyta; Magnoliopsida; Lamiales; Oleaceae. The record is from RNAcentral.
GUAAAUUCUAUCCCUUUAAUUGACAAUUUUCAUGUAAAACAAAAUCAAACGAACACCAAAAAAUACUUUUAUUUCAACAUUUUCCACGUGAAAAAUUAUACCAAUCAAAUACAAUAAUUUACAAUUCCCAGGAAAACAAUUUCUAGGUAAUUCAAUUUCCUGUAAUUCGUUUUCUUUCCAUCCAAAUUCUAUCUUUACAAUCAAACAGACCCUUAAUGAAAAAACAAUAAAUUUUCACUCUAUUGUAAGUGUAAUAAUUAAUAAUCAAGGGAGCUAAAGUAGCAAAUAGAACUUCUAUUUGAGCAAUUGAAUUUAUGGCCUUACUCAUAGAUUUUAGUCAUUCUGUGUCUUCAAGAAUAGUACUUAACAUCA